This 491-nucleotide ribosomal RNA is filed under the name uncultured bacterium. RNAcentral's name for it is "bacterial SSU rRNA". It matches the Rfam family "Bacterial small subunit ribosomal RNA", at positions 30 to 516 of the family's 1533-position model. The record is from RNAcentral.
AUUGAACGCUGGCGGCAGGCCUAACACAUGCAAGUCGAGCGAGAAAGGUCUUCGGACUGAGUACAGCGGCGGACGGGUGAGUAAUGCGCAGGAAUCUACCUGGUAGUGGGGGGAUAACUCGGGGAAACUCGAACUAAUACCGCAUACGCCCUACGGGGAAAGCGGGGGACCGUUCGGGCCUCGCGCUAUCAGAUGAGCCUGCGUAGGAUUAGCUUGUUGGUGAGGUAAAGGCUCACCAAGGCGACGAUCCUUAGCUGGUCUGAGAGGAUGAUCAGCCACACUGGAACUGAGACACGGUCCAGACUCCUACGGGAGGCAGCAGUGGGGAAUAUUGCGCAAUGGGCGAAAGCCUGACGCAGCCAUGCCGCGUGUGUGAAGAAGGCCCUUGGGUUGUAAAGCACUUUCAAUUGGGAAGAAAGGUUGCGUGUUAAUAGCACGUAGCUGUGACGUUACCUUUAGAAGAAGCACCGGCUAACUCCGUGCCAGCAGCC